AACGUACGCUGGCGGCACGCUUAACACAUGCAAGUCGAACGAAGUAGCAAUACUUAGUGGCAGACGGGUGAGUAACAUGUGGGUAUCUGCCCUUUGGCCUGGAAUAACACGAGGAAACUUGUGCUAAUACCGGAUAAGUCUUUACGGAGAAAGCUUUAUGCACCAUUGGAUGAGCCCGCACUUGAUUAGUUUGUUGGUGGGGUAAUGGCCUACCAAGACUGUGAUCAAUAGCUGAUUUGAGAGGAUGAUCAGCCACAUUGGGACUGAGACACGGCCCAAACUCCUACGGGAGGCAGCAGUGGGGAAUCUUGCACAAUGGAGGAAACUCUGAUGCAGCGAUGCCGCGUGAGUGAAGAAGGCCCUUGGGUUGUAAAGCUCUUUCGUCGGGGAAGAAAAUGACUGUACCCGAAUAAGAAGGUCCGGCUAACUUCGUGCCAGCAGCCGCGGUAAUACGAAGGGACCUAGCGUAGUUCGGGAUUACUGGGCUUAAAGAGUUCGUAGGUGGUUGAAAAAGUUAGUGGUGAAAUCCCAGAGCUUAACUCUGGAACUGCCAUUAAAACUUUUCAGCUAGAGUAUGAUAGAGGAAAGCAGAAUUUCUAGUGUAGAGGUGAAAUUCGUAGAUAUUAGAAAGAAUACCAAUUGCGAAGGCAGCUUUCUGGAUCAUUACUGACACUGAGGAACGAAAGCAUGGGUAGCGAAGAGGAUUAGAUACCCUCGUAGUCCAUGCCGUAAACGAUGUGUGUUAGACGUUGGAAAUUUAUUUUCAGUGUCGCAGCGAAAGCGAUAAACACACCGCCUGGGGAGUACGACCGCAAGGUUAAAACUCAAAUGAAUUGACGGGGACCCGCACAAGUAGUGGAGCAUGUGGUUUAAUUCGAAGAUACGCGCAGAACCUUACCAACACUUGACAUGUUCGUCGCGACUCUAAGAGAUUAGAGUUUUCGGUUCGGCCGGACGAAACACAGGUGCUGCAUGGCUGUCGUCAGCUCGUGUCGUGAGAUGUUGGGUUAAGUCCCGCAACGAGCGCAACCCUCACUUUUAGUUGCCAUCAUUAAGUUGGGCACUCUGAAAGAACUGCCAGUGAUAAGCUGGAGGAAGGUGGGGAUGACGUCAAGUCCUCAUGGCCCUUACGUGUUGGGCUACACACGCGCUACAAUGGUAUCUACAACAGGAAGCAAGACUGCGAGGUCAAGCAAAUCCUUAAAAGAUACCUCAGUUCGGAUUGCACUCUGCAACUCGAGUGCGUGAAGCUGGAAUUACUAGUAAUCGUGGAAUCAGCGUGCCACGGUGAAAUGCGUUCCCGGGUCU
This 1308-nucleotide ribosomal RNA is filed under the name uncultured bacterium. Its description in RNAcentral is "bacterial SSU rRNA". It matches the Rfam family "Bacterial small subunit ribosomal RNA", at positions 28 to 1381 of the family's 1533-position model. The record is from RNAcentral.